UUUUUUUCUUCAUCAUUCUUUUCUUUCUUCAUUUCCAAAGUCGUUGCCAUCACCCUUGUUGGCCAGAACUGUUUCAGUGAUACCCACGUGGCUUCUCGGCCUUCUCUCCACCUUCACCUCCUCUCCUCCCAAAGCUACCAGUGUAAUCUUUGGGACCCGCAUCUGAUCUUGCCACACACCAAUGGCACCCCUGCAGAUCCUCUUCCCUCCCUAGGGGUGCCACGAAGCUUCAAGACACCGCGCCUUUGUGCAUACCGUUCCCUCACCUGGCACCCCCACCACCUUUGCUCAGGCUGAGGAAUUCCUAACCACCUAUCUACAGACUGUUAAAUGUUGCCUCUUCUGGGAGUUCUUCCCAAAUAACCUUUUCCUGCCCCACACAGCAAAACGAAUCCCCCCUUGCGUUCUAGACCUUCCACUGGAACACCUGCUGUGCAGUCCUGGGCUUGGCUCACAUGCACUCCCUCUACGCCUCUGAGUCAGGGUUAUCUGAGCGCGUGCUCUGCACUGUCACUGUACCUCUGAGGUCUACGUGAACUGCCCCCUGUGGGCUGUGGUGCAAAACCUGUGUAUGUGGUGGGGUAUUAUAGCCUUUACGUGCUGUUGUUCACAGAGUCCUCAUAACAACCUUAUAACGCAGCUACAAUUAUUAUCCCCCUUUUGCUGUUAAGGAAACCAAGACUCAGAGAGGCUCAUCAACUUGUCUACAGUCACACAGCUCCUGAGCAGUGAAGCCAG
RNAcentral lists this long non-coding RNA (738 nucleotides) under Homo sapiens (human). RNAcentral describes it as "long non-coding RNA NONHSAT163071". Lineage: Eukaryota; Metazoa; Chordata; Mammalia; Primates; Hominidae. The record is from RNAcentral.